This 63-nucleotide transfer RNA is filed under the name Paracatonidia sp. SX-2018. RNAcentral's name for it is "tRNA-Asn". Lineage: Eukaryota; Metazoa; Arthropoda; Insecta; Hemiptera; Achilidae. The record is from RNAcentral.
UUAAUUGAAGCUAAAAAGAAGCUUUUCACUGUUAAUGAAAAAAAUGAAUAAAUUCCAAUUAAA